Molecule: regulatory RNA element, 419 nt
Organism: Marinobacterium stanieri
Lineage: Bacteria; Pseudomonadati; Pseudomonadota; Gammaproteobacteria; Oceanospirillales; Oceanospirillaceae
Rfam family: cspA thermoregulator
Source: Rfam
GAGGCUUAAGAGUAACACAAGCAUUUAUGCACCAUUUCGACGUCCUACCUUGUAGUAAGUACCUCGUUCUGAACCAUAAGUACCAACAUUACCUAAGCACGACCCAACCCUGACGGCAUUUUGCCAAGGGUUAAAAUUUUUACUCAGAUCGAGAGAUUUAUUAUGUCUACUACUACUGGCACAGUUAAAUGGUUCAACGAAACUAAAGGUUUUGGUUUCAUCGCUCAGGAAAAUGGUCCUGACGUAUUCGCUCACUUCAGCGCCAUCCAGGGCAGCGGUUUCAAAACUCUGGAAGAAGGCCAGAAGGUUGAGUUCACAGUGACUCAGGGCCAGAAAGGUCCUCAGGCUGAGAACAUCGUCGCUAUCUGAUUCUGAUCAGAAGCUGACAAGAAGACGACCCCUCGGGGUCGUUUUUUUUU